GCCUGGGUGGCUCAGUCGGUUGAGCAUCCGACUUCAGCUCAGGUCACGAUCUCACGGUUCGUGAGUUCGAGCCCCACGUCAGGCU
RNAcentral lists this transfer RNA (85 nucleotides) under Felis catus (domestic cat). It matches the Rfam family "tRNA". Rfam says of the family: Transfer RNA (tRNA) molecules are approximately 80 nucleotides in length. Their secondary structure includes four short double-helical elements and three loops (D, anti-codon, and T loops). Lineage: Eukaryota; Metazoa; Chordata; Mammalia; Carnivora; Felidae. The record is from Rfam by way of RNAcentral.